UUGGGCGUUAAGUUGCAGGGUAUAGACCCGAAACCCGGUGAUCUAGCCAUGGGCAGGUUGAAGGUUGGGUAACACUAACUGGAGGACCGAACCGACUAAUGUUGAAAAAUUAGCGGAUGACCUGUGGCUGGGGGUGAAAGGCCAAUCAAACCGGGAGAUAGCUGGUUCUCCCCGAAAGCUAUUUAGGUAGCGCCUCGUGAAUUCAUCUCCGGGGGUAGAGCACUGUUUCGGCUAGGGGGCCAUCCCGGCUUACCAACCCGAUGCAAACUGCGAAUACCGGAGAAUGUUAUCACGGGAGACACACGGCGGGUGCUAACGUCCGUCGUGAAGAGGGAAACAACCCAGACCGCCAGCUAAGGUCCCAAAGUCAUGGUUAAGUGGGAAACGAUGUGGGAAGGCCCAGACAGCCAGGAUGUUGGCUUAGAAGCAGCCAUCAUUUAAAGAAAGCGUAAUAGCUCACUGGUCGAGUCGGCCUGCGCGGAAGAUGUAACGGGGCUAAACCAUGCACCGAAGCUGCGGCAGCGACACUGUGUGUUGUUGGGUAGGGGAGCGUUCUGUAAGCCUGCGAAGGUGGCCUGUGAGGGUUGCUGGAGGUAUCAGAAGUGCGAAUGCUGACAUAAGUAACGAUAAAGCGGGUGAAAAGCCCGCUCGCCGGAAGACCAAGGGUUCCUGUCCAACGUUAAUCGGGGCAGGGUGAGUCGACCCCUAAGGCGAGGCCGAAAGGCGUAGUCGAUGGGAAACGGGUUAAUAUUCCCGUACUUGGUGUUACUGCGAAGGGGGGACGGAGAAGGCUAUGUUGGCCGGGCGACGGUUGUCCCGGUUUAAGCGUGUAGGCUGGUUUUCCAGGCAAAUCCGG
Molecule: ribosomal RNA, 856 nt
Filed under: Salmonella enterica
Lineage: Bacteria; Pseudomonadati; Pseudomonadota; Gammaproteobacteria; Enterobacterales; Enterobacteriaceae
Description: partial 23S ribosomal RNA
Rfam family: Bacterial large subunit ribosomal RNA
Source: RNAcentral